CAGAGCAGGCACAAACGAAGGAUACAGAGAACGAAACACAGCAAAGACUUAAACCAAAACCCUAAGUGCCUAACAGAUUAGGUCAUUUGCAUGAUCGCUGCCGAAAUCCCUACCCAAUGAAGCUCCUCCGUGUUUCAUUUACCGCCGCCGCCAAAACCUUUCGCUACGUGCUCCGAAACGGCGUGUCGCCGCCGAACGUAAACGCUUACAACGUCAUGAUCCGCGGCUUCGCCGCCGCCGCUGUGAACUUAGAAUCAGAAUCGGCGGUGGGGGAUGCGUCGGGGUUAUUGAAAGCAACGACUGAGAAGGGUGUGGAGCCGACUUUCAAUGCGAUUAUUCAGGGGUUGUGCAGGGAAGGUAGCAUAAUAGAGGCAGAGAAGAUGCUUGAGGAGAUGAAUCGGAAGGGUUUGGCCCCUGAUGAGAGGACUUACACGUCUCUCAUUCAUUUGUUCUGCGACAAGUGGCAGAACGUUAAGGCUCAUGAGGUUUUGAAUGAAAUGAUUCUUCGUGGGUUUUCGCCCUCGAUUGCUACAUACAACGACCUUCUUUAUGUAUAUUGCCGUGGGGGGGGAACGAGGGUUGAGGAGGCUGUGGGGAUUUUGAGGGGCAUGGCUGAGAGGGGUUUGUCCCCUGAUGUUGUUAGUUAUACCACUAUUAUAUCUGGGUUUUGCGUAUUCGACCAGGAGGUUGAGAAGGCUCUUGAGAUGAAGGUGGAGAUGGUUGAGAAGGGUAUCUUGCCUAAUGCUGCCACGUUUUCAAUGCUUAUACGAGCCCUGUGCCGGGAGGGAAGACUGCCCGAAGCUUUUGAUCUAUUCCGAGAGAUGCUGUGCGGCGGCUUUUCACCAGAUAAGUGUACUUAUUUGAUGUUGAUUAAUGCUUAUUGUGCUGAAGGUGAAUUCAGUAAGGUUUUUCAUUUGAAUGAUGAAAUGAUACACAAGGGUAUUUCGUCUAAUUUUGUUACUGGGUUUUCACCGUCUCUUGUCACAUACAACGCGCUUAUUCAUGGGUGUUGUGUUUUGCGGAGGGUUGAGGAUGCACUGGGGAUUUUGAGGGGCAUGGCUGAGUUGGGUUUGUCCCCUGACGCUGUUGGUUAUAACACUGUUAUAUCCGGGUUUUGCAAAAUCGGGGAGCCGGGGAAGGCGUAUAAAUUGAUGCUGGAGAUGGUUGGAAAGAACAUCCAGUGGCUGGAUGAAGACACAUAUGAAUCGCUUAUGGAAGACCUGUCAGAUGAGGAUACUUAUUCUAGUUUGAUGAAUGAGUAUUUAGCUGAAGGUAACUUGGAAAUGGCUUUUGAAUUUGAUCGUGAAGUCUCAAAAAAUGGUUAUUUGCCAAGUCAUGUUACCUAUAGUGCUCGUUUGAAUGGGCUUAUUAAGAAAGCUAGGACAACAGAAGCUAAGAUGCAUCUUUUGUGUAUGAUUUAUAAUCAGUGUUUGACUAUGCCAAGUUAUAUAACAUAUGAUACUCUGAUAGAGAACUGCAGUAAUAAUGAAUUCAAGAGUGUGGUAGGACUUGUCAAAGGUUUCAUCAAGAGGGGUUUACUGAAUGAAGCAGCCAGAGCUCAUGACACAAUGCUUCACGGGAAUUAUAAGCCAGAUGGAGCAGUUUAUAAUUUGUUAAUAUUUAGUCAUUCUAGAAGCCUUAAUGUUGAUAAGGCAUAUAAUAUGUACAAGGAGAUGGUGCAUUAUGGUUUUGAUCCUCAUAUGUUCUCUGUGCUUGCUCUUAUUAAAGCUCUAUAUCAUGUUAGAAGGUACGAUGAGACGCGUUGGGUAAUUCAAAACACAUUGAGGAGCUGUAAUCUCAAUGAUUCUGAGCUACCUAAAGUACUUGAUGAAAUUGAUGUCAGGAAAUUUCAAAUUCAUGCUCUUCUGUCUGUGCUAGCUGAAAUAGCCGUGGAUGGCCUGUUACUUGAUGGUGGAAAGUGUUCAUAUGCUUCAGCGUCAUCACACCGCUUCUCUCCCACCACCAUUAUUGUCUUCUUGAUUUUUAUCAUAAAAGGUUUGGUGGAACUGAGUCUCGGAUGAAAACUUGCUAUUAUAGUAGCUGUGGGUUCAACUCUGUCAAAGGUGAGAGCUGAAUAUAUCACGAUGCCAUAGAUUAAGCUCUCUUUUCAUAGUCCCUUUUUCCUGUGGGACAAGAUAAGAAGCUUUAGCUCGUAUGAGGAACCUCUUGGGGUUUGAGAACAUCACGAUAAUUACUAUAUAUGUUAUUUUGAGUGUCUUGAAUGUAAGACUGGAACUUGUAUUCUAGGAUUUUCUGAAUGUAUGAUGUUAUACUUCAACGAAGUUAUUAUAUUAAGUCCUUAUAAUUACUAUAGAUGUUAUUUUGAGAAGUGUCUGGAAUGUAAGACUGGAACUUGUAUUGUAGGAUUUUCUGAAUGUAUGAUGUUAACUUCAAGUCUUCAA
Lotus japonicus is the source of this 2402-nucleotide RNA transcript. It is a transcript of the gene named pentatricopeptide repeat-containing protein At5g39710-like, with no coding region annotated. Lineage: Eukaryota; Viridiplantae; Streptophyta; Magnoliopsida; Fabales; Fabaceae. The transcript has 3 exons. The record is from RefSeq and is a predicted model, not a curated record.